AUGCAAGUCGAACGGUAACAGGAAGCAGCUUGCUGCUUUGCUGACGAGUGGCGGACGGGUGAGUAAUGUCUGGGGAUCUGCCUGAUGGAGGGGGAUAACUACUGGAAACGGUAGCUAAUACCGCAUAACGUCGCAAGACCAAAGAGGGGGACCUUCGGGCCUCUGGCCAUCAGAUGAACCCAGAUGGGAUUAGCUAGUAGGUGGGGUAACGGCUCACCUAGGCGACGAUCCCUAGCUGGUCUGAGAGGAUGACCAGCCACACUGGAACUGAGACACGGUCCAGACUCCUACGGGAGGCAGCAGUGGGGAAUAUUGCACAAUGGGCGCAAGCCUGAUGCAGCCAUGCCGCGUGUAUGAAGAAGGCCUUCGGGUUGUAAAGUACUUUCAGCGAGGAGGAAGGUGGUGAGCUUAAUACGCUCAUCAAUUGACGUUACUCGCAGAAGAAGCACCGGCUCACUCCGUGCCAGCAGCCGCGGUAAUACGGAGGGUGCAAGCGUUAAUCGGAAUUACUGGGCGUAAAGCGCACGCAGGCGGUCUGUCAAGUCGGAUGUGAAAUCCCCGGGCUCAACCUGGGAACUGCAUCCGAAACUGGCAGGCUUGAGUC
RNAcentral lists this ribosomal RNA (604 nucleotides) under uncultured Gammaproteobacteria bacterium. Its description in RNAcentral is "bacterial SSU rRNA". It matches the Rfam family "Bacterial small subunit ribosomal RNA", at positions 55 to 648 of the family's 1533-position model. Lineage: Bacteria; Pseudomonadati; Pseudomonadota; Gammaproteobacteria. The record is from RNAcentral.